RNAcentral lists this transfer RNA (75 nucleotides) under Cordylochernes scorpioides. RNAcentral describes it as "tRNA-Thr". It matches the Rfam family "tRNA". From Rfam's summary of the family: Transfer RNA (tRNA) molecules are approximately 80 nucleotides in length. Their secondary structure includes four short double-helical elements and three loops (D, anti-codon, and T loops). Lineage: Eukaryota; Metazoa; Arthropoda; Arachnida; Pseudoscorpiones; Chernetidae. The record is from RNAcentral.
GUCCAGGGUAGCCUAGUGGACCUGGCAUCUGCCCGGUAAGCAGAACACUGUGGGUUCGAUUCCCAUACCUGGACA